UCAACCCUCGGUUAAGAAGGAUUAAUCUUUGAGUUUAAGCAUAUCAAUAAGAGGAGGAAAAGAAACUUACAAGGAUUUUUUUAGUAACGACGAGCGAACCGGGAACAACCUAGCCUUAGAAUCGGGUGCCUUCGUUAUCUGAAUUAUAGUCAUAAGAAUCUAAGUCCCCUAGAAGGGGGCACUAGAGAGGGUGAGAUCCCCAUUGUGUCCAGUCCUAUCACAACAUGAGACGCUGUCUACGAGUCGGGUUGUUCGAAAAUGCAGCCCAAAUCGGGUGGUGAAUUCCAUCUAAGACUAAAUAUGGGCGAGAGAUCAAUAUUGAACACCUUCCGCGAGGGAAAGAUGAAAAAGACUUUGAAAAGAGAGUUAAAAGUGCUUGAAAUUAUCAGGAGAAAAGUGGAUGGUUGCCGACGAUGCACCCCGAUCAAAUAUGGAAUGAAGACGAGCUAGUCUGUCGAUCUACUUGGGGAGUGGACCAGCAUAGAUUAGGGGGCAGACCAGGCUCUCGAUAUGCUCGUGGAAUGCCGCCUCCUCGAUUGUGGAAGGCAGCGCGCGCCUUUGGCGUGAUUCGGUAUCUUUGCUCUCUGGACGCGGGCCUGUGGGCUCCUUAUUUUACCCUUCUUGAAACACAAACCAAGGAGUCUGACAUGUGUGCGAGUCAAUGAGUGAGUAAAACCAUGAGGCGUAAGGAAGCUAAUUGGUGGGAUCCCUCUAGAGGGGUGUACCGCCGACCGAUCUUGAUCUUCUGAGAAGGGUUUGAGUGUGAUCAUACAUAUUGAGACACGAAAUAUAAUGAUCUAUGCCUGAGCAGGGCGAAGCCAUAGGAAACAUUGGUGGAGACCGGCAACGAUACUGACGUGUAAAUAUUUCAUCUAACUUGGGUGUAGGGGAUAAAUACCAAUCAAACCAUCUAGUAUCAGGUUUUCUCCAAGGUUUCCCUCAGGAUAGCUGAAGUUUGCGUACGAGUUUUAUCUAGUAAAGCCAAUGAUUAGGGGCCUCGAGGGUGCAAUGCCCUCGACCUAUUCUAAAACUUUUAAUAGGUAAGAUGGCAUGACUGCUUUGUUGAGCCAGACCAUGGAAUCAAGAGCUCCAAGUAGGCCAUUUUUGGUAAGCAGAAUUGACUAUACGAGAUGAACUGGAAGUUGGGUUACGGUGCCAAACUGUGCACUAACCUAGAUCUCACAAAGGGUGCUGGUCGAUUAAGACAGCUGGAAAUGUGUAACAACUUACCUACUAAAUCAACUAGCCCAAAAAAUGGAUGGCACUUAAGCGCACGACCUACACCUGGCCGUCAGGGCAAGUGCAAGGCCCCAAUGAGUAGGAGGGAGCGGUGGUCUCUACAAAACCUUGGGCGUGAGCCUUUGUGGAGCUGCCGUCGGUGCAGAUCUUAGUGGUAGUAGCAAAUAUUCAAAUUAGAACUUUGAAGGCCAAAGAAGAGAAAGAUUCCAUGUGAACGACACUUGAACAUGGGUUAGUCAAUCCUAAGGGUCGGGGGAUCCCCGAAAGAUAAAGCAUUUCUGCGUACUUCAAAAGCGAAUCGGGUUAAAAUUCCUUAAUCGGGAUAUGGCGGUCGACGAAAAUGUUAGAAAGUUUUGAGAUGUCGGCAGGAGACUCAGGAAGAGUUACCUUUUCUGCUUAAUAGCCUGGCCAUCCUAUAAUUGGCUCAGUCAGAGGUAGGGUCCAGCAGCUGGAAGAGCACCGCACAUUGCAUGGUGUCUGAUGCACUCCCGGUGGCACUGGAAAAGACCUAGAGGAUUCAAUGCCGUCCAUGCCCGGUUGUACUCAUAACCGCAUCAGGUCUCCAUUUGAACAUCCUCUGAUCGAUGGAACAAUGUAGGCAAGGAAAGUUGGUAAAAUGAAUCCGUUACUUCGGAAAAAGGAUUGGCUUUGAGGUCUGGGCACGGGGGUCCCAGCCUCUAACUUGUCGGCUGUCUGUGGACUGCUCAAGAUGCUCCCAUGGCGAGAGUGGGUCACCACAGCCAGUCGGGGGAUGGACUGAGAACAGUUCCUUUGAGGGCCUUCCCCGCGCAUCGAACGACCAACUCUUAACUGGUAUGGUCCUAACUAUUUAAUUAAAACAAAGCAUUGCGAUGGUCCCAGUGGAUGUUCACGCAAUGUGAUUUUAUCCCAAUGCUCUGAAUGUCAAAGUGAAGAAAUUCAACCAAGCGCGGGUAAAUAGAGGGAGUAACUAUGACGCUCUUAAGGUAGACAAAUGCCUUUUCAUCUAAUUAGUGAUGCGCAUGAAUGGAUUAAUAAGAUUUCCACUGUCCCUGUAUACUAUACACAAAAUCACCGCCAAAGGAACGGACUUGGCAGAAAUCAGCGGGGAAAGAAAACCCUGUUAAGCUUGACUCUAGUCCGACUUUAUGAAAUGACUUGAAAGGUGUAGUAUAAGUGGGAGUCGAAAGGCAAAAUUUAAAUACCACUAUUUUAACGUUAUUUUACUUAUUUUGUGAAUCAGAAGUGGGGCAUUGCCCCUCUUUUUGGA
This 2488-nucleotide ribosomal RNA is filed under the name Capsicum baccatum. RNAcentral's name for it is "bacterial LSU rRNA". It matches the Rfam family "Eukaryotic large subunit ribosomal RNA", at positions 1 to 2565 of the family's 3401-position model. The record is from RNAcentral. Lineage: Eukaryota; Viridiplantae; Streptophyta; Magnoliopsida; Solanales; Solanaceae.